UCUGCUGCUCUCCCCUCUCCCAUUCCAUGAGCUGGCAUGUGUGUUUUGCAUAUUCGAACGUACUCAGAAAUAACACAGUAAUUUCUGAGACAUGAGCUCUUGGACCCCACAAGAAUUCAUAGCGUGGAGGAUUACUGUUCUGGACCUGCCGGUAUAUCAGGUUUAUAGCUGGGGCUCUGUGCCUGCAUGUUUCCACGGCUCCUGGUGAUCACACUUUCUUUUAUGUGGU
Long non-coding RNA from Erinaceus europaeus (western European hedgehog), 229 nucleotides. RefSeq lists it as uncharacterized. NCBI's taxonomy places the organism in Eukaryota, Metazoa, Chordata, Mammalia, Eulipotyphla, Erinaceidae. The transcript has 3 exons. The record is from RefSeq and is a predicted model, not a curated record.